This 85-nucleotide transfer RNA is filed under the name Thermoplasmata archaeon. RNAcentral describes it as "tRNA-Leu". It matches the Rfam family "tRNA". From Rfam's summary of the family: Transfer RNA (tRNA) molecules are approximately 80 nucleotides in length. Their secondary structure includes four short double-helical elements and three loops (D, anti-codon, and T loops). The record is from RNAcentral. Lineage: Archaea; Methanobacteriati; Thermoplasmatota; Thermoplasmata.
GCCCGGGUGGUGGAACUGGUAGACACAAGGGACUUAAAAUCCCUUGGGAUUCAAUCCCGUGUGGGUUCAAAUCCCACCCCGGGCA